GAAACGCGAUAUGUAGUGUGAAUCGCAGGGAUCAGUGAAUCAUCGAAUCUUUGAACGCAAGUUGCGCUCCCGGUUGCUUUCACAACCCCCGGGAGCACGUCUGCUUGAGUGCCGCGCCAUUCUAUUUUAUUCUCCUUCUUCUUCUUUUUCUUCUUCUUCUUCUUCUUCUUCUCUUUUGAAGAUGAAGAUGAUGAUGAUGAUGAUGAUGGGGGAUGAUACUCUAUUCGGACAUCGCGCGCGCGCGCGCGCGCGUUGUCUUAGGGCGCAUAUACAUUAAUAACAUAAUAACAUAAGCAAGCCGUAGCAGUGGUAGUAGUGAAGAUAAUAAGGAGGAGGAGGAGUGUGUGUGGUGUGUGUGUGCGCGCACUUAUAAUAAUAAUAAUCUAUCCAUAAUCCCGGCCUCAAGUCAGGCGACAGCACCCGCUGAAUUUAAGC
This 435-nucleotide unclassified non-coding RNA is filed under the name plant metagenome. RNAcentral's name for it is "partial contains 5.8S ribosomal RNA, internal transcribed spacer 2, and large subunit ribosomal RNA". The stretch from base 1 to 114 matches the Rfam family "5.8S ribosomal RNA", at positions 50 to 154 of the family's 154-position model. The record is from RNAcentral.